GAUGAACGCUGGCGGCGUGCCUAAUACAUGCAAGUCGAACGCGCAGCGAGAGGUGCUUGCACCUUUCAAGCGAGUGGCGAACGGGUGAGUAACACGUGGAUAACCUGCCUCAAGGCUGGGGAUAACAUUUGGAAACAGAUGCUAAUACCGAAUAAAACUUAGUAUCGCAUGAUAUCAAGUUAAAAGGCGCUACGGCGUCACCUAGAGAUGGAUCCGCGGUGCAUUAGUUAGUUGGUGGGGUAAAGGCUUACCAAGACGAUGAUGCAUAGCCGAGUUGAGAGACUGAUCGGCCACAUUGGGACUGAGACACGGCCCAAACUCCUACGGGAGGCUGCAGUAGGGAAUCUUCCACAAUGGGCGCAAGCCUGAUGGAGCAACGCCGCGUGUGUGAUGAAGGCUUUCGGGUCGUAAAGCACUGUUGUAUGGGAAGAAAUGCUAAAAUAGGGAAUAAUUUUAGUUUGACGGUACCAUACCAGAAAGGGACGGCUAACUACGUGCCAGCAGCCGCCGUAA
Molecule: ribosomal RNA, 513 nt
Filed under: uncultured bacterium
Lineage: Bacteria
Description: partial 16S ribosomal RNA
Rfam family: Bacterial small subunit ribosomal RNA
Source: RNAcentral